This 394-nucleotide ribosomal RNA is filed under the name uncultured bacterium. RNAcentral describes it as "bacterial SSU rRNA". It matches the Rfam family "Bacterial small subunit ribosomal RNA", at positions 94 to 523 of the family's 1533-position model. The record is from RNAcentral.
AGUGGCAGACGGGUGAGUAACACGUGGGAACCUUCCUCGUUGUACGGGACAACUCAGGGAAACUUGAGCUAAUACCGUAUACGUCCGAGAGGAGAAAGAUUUAUCGCAAUGAGACGGGCCCGCGUCGGAUUAGCUAGUUGGUGGGGUAACGGCCUACCAAGGCGACGAUCCGUAGCUGAUCUGAGAGGAUGAUCAGCCACACUGGGACUGAGACACGGCCCAGACUCCUACGGGAGGCAGCAGUGGGGAAUCUUGGACAAUGGGCGCAAGCCUGAUCCAGCCAUGCCGCGUGAGUGAAGAAGGCCUUAGGGUUGUAAAGCUCUUUUGCCAGGGACGAUAAUGACGGUACCUGGAGAAUAAGCCCCGGCAAACUUCGUGCCAGCCGCCGCGGUAA